RNAcentral lists this ribosomal RNA (820 nucleotides) under uncultured bacterium. RNAcentral's name for it is "bacterial SSU rRNA". It matches the Rfam family "Bacterial small subunit ribosomal RNA", at positions 28 to 811 of the family's 1533-position model. The record is from RNAcentral.
GAUAAACGCUGGCGGCGCACAUAAGACAUGCAAGUCGAACGGAAGUCGUUGUGAUGAAAUAGAAACGGACAGAGAACUUGUUCGAAGAAAGUGGAAGUAGACUUACAACAAUGGCUUUAGUGGCGGACUGGUGAGUAACGCGUAAGGAACCUGCCUUCUAGAGGGGAAUAACAAUGAGAAAUCAUUGCUAAUACCGCAUAUGCCGAGAGAAUCACAUGGUACAAUCGGGAAAAGAGUAAUCUGCUAGAAGAUGGCCUUGCGUCUGAUUAGAUAGUUGGUGGGGUAACGGCCUACCAAGUCGACGAUCAGUAGCCGGACUGAGAGGUUGAACGGCCACAUUGGGACUGAGAUACGGCCCAGACUCCUACGGGAGGCAGCAGUCGGGAAUAUUGCGCAAUGGAGGAAACUCUGACGCAGUGACGCCGCGUAUAGGAAGAAGGUUUUCGGAUUGUAAACUAUUGUCGUUAGGGAAGAGAAAGGACAGUACCUAAGGAGGAAGCUCCGGCUAACUACGUGCCAGCAGCCGCGGUAAUACGUAGGGAGCGAGCGUUAUCCGGAAUUAUUGGGUGUAAAGGGUGCGUAGACGGGAAGAUAAGUUAGUUGUGAAAUCCCUCGGCUUAACUGAGGAACUGCAACUAAAACUGUUUUUCUUGAGUGCAGGAGAGGUAAGUGGAAUUCCUAGUGUAGCGGUGAAAUGCGUAGAUAUUAGGAGGAACACCAGUGGCGAAGGCGACUUACUGGACUGUAACUGACGUUGAGGCACGAAAGUGUGGGGAGCAAACAGGAUUAGAUACCCUGGUAGUCCACACCGUAAACGAUG